UACGUAGGGUGCAAGCGUUGUCCGGAAUUAUUGGGCGUAAAGCGCUCGUAGGCGGUCUGUUGCGUCCGCUGUGAAAACUCGGGGCUUAACCCCGAGCCUGCAGUGGAUACGGGCAGACUAGAGGUAGGUAGGGGAGAAUGGAAUUCCCGGUGUAGCGGUGAAAUGCGCAGAUAUCGUAAGGAAGACCAGUGGCGAAGGCGAGUUUCUGGACGGUAACUGACGCUGAGGCACGAAGGCCAGGGGAGCAAACGGG
This 253-nucleotide ribosomal RNA is filed under the name uncultured bacterium. RNAcentral's name for it is "partial 16S ribosomal RNA". It matches the Rfam family "Bacterial small subunit ribosomal RNA", at positions 524 to 776 of the family's 1533-position model. The record is from RNAcentral.